Molecule: transfer RNA, 77 nt
Filed under: Cordylochernes scorpioides
Lineage: Eukaryota; Metazoa; Arthropoda; Arachnida; Pseudoscorpiones; Chernetidae
Description: tRNA-Gly
Source: RNAcentral
AACCAUCGGCCGGGAAUCGAACCCAGGGCGCCCGCGUGGCACGCGAACAUUCUACCACUGAACCAGAAGCAAACGGU